UUUCCAUAAAAACUGAUUUAACAGAAUAUAGAAAAUGCUGGCUUUCCUUACCCUGUUGAACCAACGUGCUCCCAACCUCUUGGUACUGACAGCACCUUUUCUCCUGGAACAUGGUCUCAGCUAAAGACGGUGGAGAGAAAUACAGAUAUCAUUGACUUUCUGUAUCUGCUUGUUUCCCAGUGAAUUCAGGGGAGUCAAGGACAUGCUCAGCACCUCAAGGACUGAUCUCGAAGAGAGCAAUCAAGCAGGCAUUGUGUGCGUCAGUGGGUGAAGAACUUGGGAACUGAUUUCUGCCAACAACAGACUGAGAGGGCAUGCUUUUCAAUGGAAAAUGUACAGUACGGUCAAAGAGCUGAAGAGCCUAUAGAGAGCUCCAUUUGCAAAUUCUUCGUUGAAGAAAUAGAUGCGUUCUCAGCUGAAGGAUGGAUUGUUGGGCAAGAAAACAGCAAUCUCUCCAGCUUGCAGAAUGCUUCUCCAGGUCCUCAUUCUGAAGUGUAAGUUUGCUCCACUUUAUUUCCUAUG
Harpia harpyja (harpy eagle) is the source of this 522-nucleotide long non-coding RNA. RefSeq lists it as uncharacterized. Lineage: Eukaryota; Metazoa; Chordata; Aves; Accipitriformes; Accipitridae. The transcript is spliced from 3 exons. The record is from RefSeq and is a predicted model, not a curated record.